Molecule: ribosomal RNA, 301 nt
Filed under: uncultured bacterium
Lineage: Bacteria
Description: partial 16S ribosomal RNA
Rfam family: Bacterial small subunit ribosomal RNA
Source: RNAcentral
CAGUCGCCGCGGUAAAACGGAGGGCGCGAGCGUUACCCGGAUUUACUGGGCGUAAAGGGCGUGUAGGCGGCCUGGGGCGUCCCAUGUGAAAGGCCACGGCUCAACCGUGGAGGAGCGUGGGAUACGCUCAGGCUAGAGGGUGUGAGAGGGUGGUGGAAUUCCCGGAGUAGCGGUGAAAUGCGCAGAUACCGGGAGGAACGCCGAUGGCGAAGGCAGCCACCUGGUCCACUUCUGACGCUGAGGCGCGAAAGCGUGGGGAGCAAACCGGAUUAGAUACCCCCGUAGUCCCUGUCUCUUAUAC